Molecule: ribosomal RNA, 841 nt
Filed under: uncultured Gram-positive bacterium
Lineage: Bacteria
Description: bacterial SSU rRNA
Rfam family: Bacterial small subunit ribosomal RNA
Source: RNAcentral
GAGUCUGAUCAUGGCUCAGGACGAACGCUGGCGGCGUGCCUAACACAUGCAAGUCGAGCGAUGAACCCUUCGGGGGAUUAGCGGCGGACGGGUDAGUAACACGUGGGUAACCUGCCUCAAAGAGGGGGAUAGCCUCCCGAAAGGAAUUAAUACCGCAUAACAUCAAAUUAUCGCAUGGUAGUUUGAUCAAAGCAGUAAUCGACUUUGAGAUGGACCCGCGGCGCAUUACGUAGUUGGAGAGGUAACGGCUCACCAAGGCGACGAUGCGUAGCCGACCUGAGAGGGUGAUCGGCCACAUUGGAACUGAGACACGGUCCAGACUCCUACGGGAGGCAGCAGUGGGGAAUAUUGCACAAUGGGCGAAACGUGAUGCAGCAACGCCGCGUGAGUGAUGAAGGCCUUCGGGUUGUAAAGCUCUGUCUUCUGGGACGAUAAUGACGGUACCAGAGGAGGAAGCCACGGCUAACUACGUGCCAGCAGCCGCGGUAAUACGUAGGUGGCAAGCGUUGUCCGGAUUUACUGGGCGUAAAGGAUGCGUAGGCGGAUAUAUAAGUCAGAUGUGAAAUACCCGGGCUCAACUUGGGUGCUGCAUUUGAAACUGUAUAUCUAGAGUGCGGGAGAGGUAAGUGGAAUUCCUAGUGUAGCGGUGAAAUGCGUAGAGAUUAGGAAGAACACCAGUGGCGAAGGCGACUUACUGGACCGUAACUGACGCUGAGGCAUGAAAGCGUGGGGAGCAAACAGGAUUAGAUACCCUGGUAGUCCACGCCGUAAACGAUGGGUACUAGGUGUGGGAGGUAUCGACCCUUCCGUGCCGCAGUUAACACAAUAAGUACCCGCCUGG